Molecule: long non-coding RNA, 1262 nt
Organism: Mobula hypostoma (lesser devil ray)
Lineage: Eukaryota; Metazoa; Chordata; Chondrichthyes; Myliobatiformes; Myliobatidae
Exons: 3
Source: RefSeq, a predicted model, not a curated record
AGCAGGAGCGUCUGUUGGUUUCUGCUUUGUUGAUCUCCGAAAUCACUUUGCUCGUACUGGUAUUUGGUAUAUAAUUCUGGAAAUCAAGAACCUAUUUGCAGAGGGAGGCAUUGACUCCAAGGUCCAGAGUUUGAUGAGUUUGCUUGGAAUUAUAGUAUUGAAGGCAGAACUGUAGUCAAUAAACAACAACAUUUUCCUGCAUUUCCAUGUCUAUAAACUGAAAAUGGUAUCCAUUAAAAGAAACCUCCAAACUAUCAUGGACUGAUGGAAGAAUUCAUACCGCUUGGUGUAGCUUUGUAUCAAGUAAAACCAGGAUCCAACAAGUUUGAAUCAAUGUUCUUCCCUGAACAUUUAAUAAACUUGCAGGAGUUCUAAAAUAUUUUAAGCUUAAUUCUUUAGAUGCACUCAAAAUAAGGCCAGCCUUUGUCCUUUGAAUACCUCAAGCAACAUAAUCAAUAACGUUUAUAUUUUUCCUGUUUUUAAGUACUUGUGCGAUGACACGUAAUACAGUUAAUGUUCAGAAUUAUUGCAGAGUUUAUGUGUAAGAGAAAAUGCUCUAAAUAUCAGAACUGUCAUAAAAAUCCAUCUGGUUCAAUGCUUCCUUCAGGAGAGGAAAUCUGUUAAGUUUAUUCAGACCUUCAUGUGACUCCCAACGUACAUGUGCUUAACUCUUAAAUGCACUCUGUAGUGGCCAACAAACCACUCAAUUGGUUUAAACAGAGAAAUAAAGUACCAGAUGAAGCACCUGGUAUUGACCCAGAAACUGAAUUUGAACAAGCUAAUGCCACUCCAAGUUCAGUCCACCUUACAAAGUACUCGCAAGCAUCUGGGGGCUGAUGUCUAAGUUGUAAGAGUUAUUCCACAGACUAGUGCAGCAACAGGCUGAUUUGCUCAUAUUCAUAGAAUCACGUCACUCUCAGUACAUACCCAUAAUAGAAGGCAGCUCAAAGGAAGAGGCACCAUUGAUUCCUGAAUCCAUGAAGUCUCAUGGCAUCGGAUUAAACAUGGACAAGAAUACCUCCACCUGAUUACCAUCUCUUGCAGCUGAUGAAUCACUGAACAAUGAAGGUAACAAGAAUACUGAAAGAGAGAUUUCAAUGCCCACCACUGACAAUUAGCCAAGUUCUAUAGGACACAACUGUCACUAGUAAUAUCCCUCAAUAUCAAAGUACAAAGUAAAUUUAUUAUCAAAGUACACAUGCAUCACCAUAUAUAACCCUGAUUGUCUCAAUUGUCCCAACUUUAUUCGUUCUUCCUACACC